GCUCCCUGGGUGACGAGCGGCGGACGGGUGAGUAAUGUCUGGGAAACUGCCUGAUGGAGGGGGAUAACUACUGGAAACGGUAGCUAAUACCGCAUAACGUCGCAAGACCAAAGAGGGGGACCUUCGGGCCUCUUGCCAUCAGAUGUGCCCAGAUGGGAUUAGCUAGUAGGUGGGGUAAUGGCUCACCUAGGCGACGAUCCCUAGCUGGUCUGAGAGGAUGACCAGCCACACUGGAACUGAGACACGGUCCAGACUCCUACGGGAGGCAGCAGUGGGGAAUAUUGCACAAUGGGCGCAAGCCUGAUGCAGCCAUGCCGCGUGUGUGAAGAAGGCCUUCGGGUUGUAAAGCACUUUCAGCGAGGAGGAAGGUGAUGAACUUAAUACGCUCAUCAAUUGACGUUACUCGCAGAAGAAGCACCGGCUAACUCCGUGCCAGCAGCCGCGGUAAUACGGAGGGUGCAAGCGUUAAUCGGAAUUACUGGGCGUAAAGCGCACGCAGGCGGUUUGUUAAGUCAGAUG
Molecule: ribosomal RNA, 519 nt
Filed under: Serratia sp. EB25
Lineage: Bacteria; Pseudomonadati; Pseudomonadota; Gammaproteobacteria; Enterobacterales; Yersiniaceae
Description: bacterial SSU rRNA
Rfam family: Bacterial small subunit ribosomal RNA
Source: RNAcentral